Molecule: ribosomal RNA, 1542 nt
Filed under: Escherichia coli
Lineage: Bacteria; Pseudomonadati; Pseudomonadota; Gammaproteobacteria; Enterobacterales; Enterobacteriaceae
Description: bacterial SSU rRNA
Rfam family: Bacterial small subunit ribosomal RNA
Source: RNAcentral
AAAUUGAAGAGUUUGAUCAUGGCUCAGAUUGAACGCUGGCGGCAGGCCUAACACAUGCAAGUCGAACGGUAGCAGGAAGAAGCUUGCUUCUUCGCUGACGAGUGGCGGACGGGUGAGUAAUGUCUGGGAAACUGCCUGAUGGAGGGGGAUAACUACUGGAAACGGUAGCUAAUACCGCAUAACGUCGCAAGACCAAAGAGGGGGACCUUCGGGCCUCUUGCCAUCGGAUGUGCCCAGAUGGGAUUAGCUUGUUGGUGGGGUAACGGCUCACCAAGGCGACGAUCCCUAGCUGGUCUGAGAGGAUGACCAGCCACACUGGAACUGAGACACGGUCCAGACUCCUACGGGAGGCAGCAGUGGGGAAUAUUGCACAAUGGGCGCAAGCCUGAUGCAGCCAUGCCGCGUGUAUGAAGAAGGCCUUCGGGUUGUAAAGUACUUUCAGCGGGGAGGAAGGGAGUAAAGUUAAUACCUUUGCUCAUUGACGUUACCCGCAGAAGAAGCACCGGCUAACUCCGUGCCAGCAGCCGCGGUAAUACGGAGGGUGCAAGCGUUAAUCGGAAUUACUGGGCGUAAAGCGCACGCAGGCGGUUUGUUAAGUCAGAUGUGAAAUCCCCGGGCUCAACCUGGGAACUGCAUCUGAUACUGGCAAGCUUGAGUCUCGUAGAGGGGGGUAGAAUUCCAGGUGUAGCGGUGAAAUGCGUAGAGAUCUGGAGGAAUACCGGUGGCGAAGGCGGCCCCCUGGACGAAGACUGACGCUCAGGUGCGAAAGCGUGGGGAGCAAACAGGAUUAGAUACCCUGGUAGUCCACGCCGUAAACGAUGUCGACUUGGAGGUUGUGCCCUUGAGGCGUGGCUUCCGGAGCUAACGCGUUAAGUCGACCGCCUGGGGAGUACGGCCGCAAGGUUAAAACUCAAAUGAAUUGACGGGGGCCCGCACAAGCGGUGGAGCAUGUGGUUUAAUUCGAUGCAACGCGAAGAACCUUACCUGGUCUUGACAUCCACAGAACUUUCCAGAGAUGGAUUGGUGCCUUCGGGAACUGUGAGACAGGUGCUGCAUGGCUGUCGUCAGCUCGUGUUGUGAAAUGUUGGGUUAAGUCCCGCAACGAGCGCAACCCUUAUCCUUUGUUGCCAGCGGUCCGGCCGGGAACUCAAAGGAGACUGCCAGUGAUAAACUGGAGGAAGGUGGGGAUGACGUCAAGUCAUCAUGGCCCUUACGACCAGGGCUACACACGUGCUACAAUGGCGCAUACAAAGAGAAGCGACCUCGCGAGAGCAAGCGGACCUCAUAAAGUGCGUCGUAGUCCGGAUUGGAGUCUGCAACUCGACUCCAUGAAGUCGGAAUCGCUAGUAAUCGUGGAUCAGAAUGCCACGGUGAAUACGUUCCCGGGCCUUGUACACACCGCCCGUCACACCAUGGGAGUGGGUUGCAAAAGAAGUAGGUAGCUUAACCUUCGGGAGGGCGCUUACCACUUUGUGAUUCAUGACUGGGGUGAAGUCGUAACAAGGUAACCGUAGGGGAACCUGCGGUUGGAUCACCUCCUUA